AGGAAGAAUUGAAGGUGUUUGGGACGUGAACAGUAGCGUGAACAAGAUGGAAUUGACGUACUGAGCCCUCGAGCGAGGAGGACACAGGCAGGCAGCAGGGUUAGCUGCGAGACUCACUUAUUUCAGAUUAGCAGAGAUUGCGUCCAGGCUCAAGAACUUGGGAAUCAGCGCUUCCGUUUUUGUCCGUAGGUUAUUACUUAACCUACCUUGUAUGAUAUCGGCUUAGUUUAGUGUUGCUCUGAUAAACCUUUUCUUUGAAGUUUGAUGGAGGUUGUUGUUUGGGUUGUUGUUGCUUACAGAGGAUUAUGUUGGGAUUUGAGCUUUUCGGAUGUAAUAUAUGUGCUUGGAUUGUAAAUUUGAUAUCGUAGGUUGAGUAGAAGAUAUAGUUGAAAUCAUGUCCAGGUUUGUGAAAUUUUGGGUA
RNAcentral lists this long non-coding RNA (421 nucleotides) under Rosa chinensis. RNAcentral describes it as "sRNA RchiOBHm_Chr2g0168081". The record is from RNAcentral. Lineage: Eukaryota; Viridiplantae; Streptophyta; Magnoliopsida; Rosales; Rosaceae.